UAAAAAGCAGGACUGAGAUGAUUAUUGA
This 28-nucleotide non-coding RNA is filed under the name Rattus norvegicus (Norway rat). Lineage: Eukaryota; Metazoa; Chordata; Mammalia; Rodentia; Muridae. The record is from RNAcentral.